RNAcentral lists this unclassified non-coding RNA (475 nucleotides) under Hevea brasiliensis (rubber tree). The record is from RNAcentral. Lineage: Eukaryota; Viridiplantae; Streptophyta; Magnoliopsida; Malpighiales; Euphorbiaceae.
UAGAAUAUAUAUAUAUAUAUAUAGGUUAGUAACUUCUUCCUUUCAAUGUAUCAAGGCAGUUAAUGCAAGAUAAGCGACUGGAAAAAGCAUUUAGAUGAUAUAUGUGUCUCUCUUCAUAUGUUUGGGAUUAAGUCUUAGUCGAGUUGUUUGCUUCCCUUUUACGUUGUGCAUAAAAGUGAAGAAUUUUUCCCCCUAAUUUCCUUAUAAUACUUUCUUCCAAUCUGUUUGAACCCCAAAUUCAAGGGGAGUAUUAUCACUAAAUACUGUCAUGCAAGUAAAAUCAAAGUUUAUACCUGAAUGAGAAAUCAUUGCUUAGUUUAUAAUUUACCGUUGCUCAUACCUUCUUCUAUAAGGUAUAACAAUGCCUAUCAUCAAGCUUUUGAAGUGUUCAUUCAUGAUAAUGUGCAGAUCUGUUGAUGCCAUUUUCUUAACUUGUAUUGUGAUCUGUAUAUGCAUAGGAUGACAUGAGACUGAG